This 468-nucleotide ribosomal RNA is filed under the name uncultured bacterium. Its description in RNAcentral is "partial 16S ribosomal RNA". It matches the Rfam family "Bacterial small subunit ribosomal RNA", at positions 28 to 507 of the family's 1533-position model. The record is from RNAcentral.
GACGAACGCUGGCGGCGUGCUUAACACAUGCAAGUCGAACGGAAAGGCCCUGCUUUUGUGGGGUGCUCGAGUGGCGAACGGGUGAGUAACACGUGAGUAACCUGCCCUUGACUUUGGGAUAACUUCAGGAAACUGGGGCUAAUACCGGAUAGGAGCUCCUGCUGCAUGGUGGGGGUUGGAAAGUUUCGGCGGUUGGGGAUGGACUCGCGGCUUAUCAGCUUGUUGGUGGGGUAGUGGCUUACCAAGGCUUUGACGGGUAGCCGGCCUGAGAGGGUGACCGGCGACAUGGGGACUGAGAUACGGCGCAGACGGCAACGGGAGGCAGCAGUGGGGAAUAUUGCAGAAUGGGCGGAAGCCUGAGGCAGCAACGCCGGGUGCGGGAUGACGGCAUUCGGGUUGUAAACCGAUUUCGCCUGAGACGAAGAGAGAGUGACGGUAAUGGGUAAAGAAGCACCGGCUAACUACGUG